GUCCCUCUGGGCGGCGGAGGCGGAGCGCGAGGCGUGGCGCGGCGCCGAGCUGGAGGAGCGGCUAGCGCGUCUCCGAGGCGAGACGACGGCGUGGCAGGCCAAGGCGCUCUCCGAGCAGGCUGCCGCGGUCGCCCUGCACGCGUAGCUGGUCGGUCGAGGAGCUCGCCGCCACAGCGGGCGACGUCGGCCAGCCAGGCGGAGUCGUCGGCGUCGGCAUUCGUGGACCCUCGCUGCGCAGGGCCGCCGCCAGACCACGCGUGCCUAAGCUGCCGCCUCAGGCCGGCCUUCGUGGUGCUCCUCCCCUGCAGGCACUGUCCCUCUGCGGCGGCGCCAUGCCGUGUCCCGUGUGCCUGUGCGUGCAGACGGAGAGCAUGGAGGCCAUCCUCUGCUGAGCUUUCCCCGCCUCUCGUCAUCGAUCAUCCGGCCGUCCACCUCGUGAGCCGAGAGCAGGUUUUCCAUGACAUUAUGGUGGCGCCUAAUUUUGCUGGUCGUGUGUGCCGGAUAUCGCGAUGUCAGCAGAUUGGCAUGAAAUGUUGUCGAGAAGGGAGAAGGCCACAAACUUCAAACCAGACUAUGAUAUUGAUAUCCAUAUGAAGGUCUUAGCUAUGAGUGGGCAAGAAUCCAGUAUUCUUACAGGCUACAAAUUGAAGUGCUGAUACGGUGGUAGGAAAUGAGAUGAUGAUGGGUAUUUUUGGUGCUUCAUUUGCAUGUCCAGUACCAUAGCUCAUAACCUGCUUGCCUCUAGGAAUGUUGCGAACAACGAUUUCACUGGUUAGAUUCCCAAUCAGCUUAAGAAGAUAAACAAUCUACAGACUAAAGGAAUUCUUGGAGCAAAGGACCAGCGCACGGUCACCUCCAAAGCAAGACCCAGACUGCUUCUACAAGGAGCUGUACAAAGCUAUGUGCAGCGGGUGCCAGAUAAGCUGCAAGUAACUAAGAAGGCAGUACUUCAUGUCUUCCCUGCUGCUCUCCCGCAAUCGAUCCGGCUCUCAUGCCUGUGCCCGCGCUGUCAACUCUCCGGGCUCGAUGUGCCUUUCCACGCAGCACCCACCUCCACUCACACUCCCACCGUGGUGACCCCCUGUUCGUCGACGCGUCGAUCCAUGGUCAGCCAACCAGUGAAAACCUUCUUCGCAAUCACUCUGUAUGGUACUGCCAAUUCACAUUUUACAAGUGUUGUUUGGAAGGCAUCUACCAACUCCAAUGCUCUCUUCUUGAUAGCGGCUGCACAUAACCUAUUGUGUUUGAAGUUAGGAAAGGAGAUUGGUGUUAGUAUCGGAAACCCAUGAUUACUUGGUUCGAGGUUGCUAGCGUGCCAGCACUUUUUGGGCUUUUAGUGACUCCUUAUUUAAUUUACUCCUGAAGCCCCAAAAUUAGCUGUUGAGAAGCUAAAGAACAUGGGUCCAAUAACAAGAAAUGAAUGCAUCAUGAUUGGAACGAUGCUUUUUGCACUCUCACUACGGAUUUUUGGAAGCGAAUGGAGGAGGUUGUUCAUGCUUUGGCUACCAGCCAUGCUUCAACCGAUGCCAUGACGAAGCAGCCUGUGAAGGUGUACGGGGAGCUUUUCAACAUUUUACUAGAUAUACCAAAUCAUACGCAGAAGAAUUCUUUCUCCACCCGCACGAGAUAGUUGGAGAACCAGCACCAGUGAAGUCCAAUUAAGUGAAACCAAGUUAACAUUGAGUGUGCAGCAAACUGGAGAUGUCGACCAGGAGCUCGGAGACCGCAUCUUCAGGACAGAAGGUGUGGGAUAACGAAAAAAAGCAAAGAGAACUGACUUAUGUACUACAAAUGGAGACACUGAGGAAUAGAAUCCUCCCACCUAGAAAGAGCAGAAGACACAACUACAACUCCAAAGCUGGUAGAUGACUAACAGCUACAGGAGGACCACCACAGGAGCAAUGGGAAUAAAAUAUGAUGACUUUGGAAAGGAGAGCUGGAGAAGGCUGCAGGGCAUUACAUCUUGCAUAAAUUUCUUGCAUACAGGACGGAUCUCCUUGCUGAGUGUUGCUGAAAACAUCAUGACUUGCUUAUCAUGAGGAGUCAUUUUGAAGAUCUCCUGAACAUCUCUCCGCAUGUCUGCAUAAUACAUAUAUUUGUCAAGGAUAGCAAUUAUACUUUAUACUAUAAUUAAACAUGUUGACAAUAGCAGAUAGAAAAUUACCAAGUGAUUCUA
Molecule: RNA transcript, 2176 nt
Organism: Zea mays
Lineage: Eukaryota; Viridiplantae; Streptophyta; Magnoliopsida; Poales; Poaceae
Exons: 12
Source: RefSeq, marked validated